RNAcentral lists this transfer RNA (72 nucleotides) under Desmophyllum pertusum. RNAcentral describes it as "Lophelia pertusa tRNA". It matches the Rfam family "tRNA". From Rfam's summary of the family: Transfer RNA (tRNA) molecules are approximately 80 nucleotides in length. Their secondary structure includes four short double-helical elements and three loops (D, anti-codon, and T loops). Further hydrogen bonds mediate the characteristic L-shaped molecular structure. tRNAs have two regions of fundamental functional importance: the anti-codon, which is responsible for specific mRNA codon recognition, and the 3' end, to which the tRNAs corresponding amino acid is attached (by aminoacyl-tRNA synthetases). tRNAs cope with the degeneracy of the genetic code in two manners: having more than one tRNA (with a specific anti-codon) for a particular amino acid; and 'wobble' base-pairing, i.e. permitting non-standard base-pairing at the 3rd anti-codon position. The record is from Rfam by way of RNAcentral. Lineage: Eukaryota; Metazoa; Cnidaria; Anthozoa; Scleractinia; Caryophylliidae.
GACUUCAUAGCUCAGUGGUAGACCGUUUGCACCGGAAUCGCAAAGUCAUGGGUUCGAAUCUCGUUGGAGCCU